This 22-nucleotide non-coding RNA is filed under the name Arabidopsis thaliana (thale cress). Lineage: Eukaryota; Viridiplantae; Streptophyta; Magnoliopsida; Brassicales; Brassicaceae. The record is from RNAcentral.
UGCCAAUAGAUUUACACUCUGC